CAUGUGGUCCGCCAAGGCACCAUAACCACUACAUAGAUUUGUAGUGGUUAUGGUACUUUGGCUGCUACUUUA
This is a non-coding RNA of Pelobates cultripes (western spadefoot toad), 72 nucleotides long. The record is from the annotation of a GenBank genome assembly. Lineage: Eukaryota; Metazoa; Chordata; Amphibia; Anura; Pelobatidae.